This 461-nucleotide ribosomal RNA is filed under the name uncultured Flavobacterium sp. Its description in RNAcentral is "bacterial SSU rRNA". It matches the Rfam family "Bacterial small subunit ribosomal RNA", at positions 337 to 795 of the family's 1533-position model. Lineage: Bacteria; Pseudomonadati; Bacteroidota; Flavobacteriia; Flavobacteriales; Flavobacteriaceae. The record is from RNAcentral.
UCCUACGGGUGGCAGCAGUGAGGAAUAUUGGACAAUGGGCGCAAGCCUGAUCCAGCCAUGCCGCGUGCAGGAAGAAGCAUCUAUGGUGUGUAAACUGCUUUUGUACGGGAAGAAACACUCCUACGUGUAGGAACUUGACGGUACCGUAAGAAUAAGGAUCGGCUAACUCCGUGCCAGCAGCCGCGGUAAUACGGAGGAUCCAAGCGUUAUCCGGAAUCAUUGGGUUUAAAGGGUCCGUAGGCGGUUUAGUAAGUCAGUGGUGAAAGCCCAUCGCUCAACGAUGGAACGGCCAUUGAUACUGCUAGACUUGAAUUACAAGGAAGUAACUAGAAUAUGUAGUGUAGCGGUGAAAUGCUUAGAUAUUACAUGGAAUACCAAUUGCGAAGGCAGGUUACUACUUGUGGAUUGACGCUGAUGGACGAAAGCGUGGGGAGCGAACAGGAUUAGAUACCCUUGUAGUC